Molecule: transfer RNA, 567 nt
Filed under: Sphingomonas sp. SLAU-7
Lineage: Bacteria; Pseudomonadati; Pseudomonadota; Alphaproteobacteria; Sphingomonadales; Sphingomonadaceae
Description: partial 16S-23S ribosomal RNA intergenic spacer
Rfam family: tRNA (bases 194-267)
Source: RNAcentral
UGCAUCGCUGUACUCUUUCUAGGAAUCGGCAGAAGCGCCUGGUUUCGUACCGGGAAGAGCUUCUUCCAUUCCAAAGAACAUUGCCGUCGUCCUCAUGUCCCUUCAUCCUGGAGAAUUUGCCGCGUUCGUGUGGCAAAUGAAGCCGCCUUUGGGCAGCACGGGCUUGCCCGCCGAGGCCGAAAGGUCGCAGGUGGGGCCGGUAGCUCAGGUGGUUAGAGCGUACGCCUGAUAAGCGUAAGGUCGGAGGUUCGAGUCCUCCUCGGCCCACCAUAUGGACGCGCCGUCUCAACGGACUUUUGGCUGAAGUGGCUGGAUCAAGCAGGGAAGGUGGCCGUAGGUCUUAUGUCAGAUGAGAGAGUUCCUACUUAGGAAGCCAGGGGUCAUCUCCCCGAACCCGAUACGAUUCACAAUUUCGACAGAUGAGAGCUGAAAACUACGUUUUCGGCGAGGGGCUUUCAGCCUCUUGGGCAUGCCAAGACAGAACCUGUCUGUGCUUUUGCAUAUGGGAUGGGUAAUCUAAUCCCAUGCUUGGUUUGCGUCGUGGCCGGCACGGAAGGUAUCCUUUGC